CCUACGGGAGGCAGCAGUGGGGGAUAUUGCACAAUGGGGGGAACCCUGAUGCAGCGACGCCGCGUGGGUGAAGAAGCGCCUCGGCGCGUAAAGCCCUGUCAGCAGGGAAGAAAAUGACGGUACCUGAAGAAGAAGCCCCGGCUAACUACGUGCCAGCAGCCGCGGUAAUACGUAGGGGGCAAGCGUUAUCCGGAUUUACUGGGUGUAAAGGGGGCGCAGACGGCGAUGCAAGCCAGGAGGGAAAGCCCGGGGGCCAACCCCGGGACUGCUCGUGGAACUGGGAGGCUGGAGUGCAGGAGGGGGAGGCGGAAUUCCUGGUGUAGCGGUGAAAUGCGUAGAUAUCAGGAGGAACACCGGUGGCGAAGGCGGCCUGCUGGGCUGCAACUGACGUUGAGGGCCGAAAGCGUGGGGAGCAAACAGGAUUAGAUACCCGAGUAGUC
RNAcentral lists this ribosomal RNA (440 nucleotides) under uncultured bacterium. RNAcentral's name for it is "partial 16S ribosomal RNA". It matches the Rfam family "Bacterial small subunit ribosomal RNA", at positions 338 to 795 of the family's 1533-position model. The record is from RNAcentral.